CGAAAGCCUGACGGAGCAAUACCGCGUGAGGGAGGAAGGCUCUUGGGUUGUAAACCUCUUUUCUCAGGGAAGAAUGAUGACGGUACCUGAGGAAUCAGCAUCGGCUAACUCCGUGCCAGCAGCCGCGGUAAUACGGAGGAUGCAAGCGUUAUCCGGAAUGAUUGGGCGUAAAGCGUCCGCAGGUGGCAGUGUAAGUCUGCUGUCAAAGAGUCUGGCUCAACCAGAUAAAGGCAGUGGAAACUACACAGCUAGAGUGCGGUAGGGGCAGAGGGAAUUCCUGGUGUAGCGGUGAAGUGCGUAGAGAUCAGGAAGAACACCGGUGGCGAAAGCGCUCUGCUAGGCCGUAACUGACACUGAGGGACGAAAGCUAGGGGAGCGAAUGGGAUUAGAUACCCCAGUAGUCCUAGCCGUAAACGAUGGAUACUAGGUGUUGCUUGUAUCGACCCGAGCAGUACCGUAGCUAACGCGUUAAGUAUCCCGCCUGGGGAGUACGCAGGCAACUGUGAAACUCAAAGGAAUUGACGAGGGCCCGCACAAGCGGUGGAGUAUGUGGUUUAAUUCGAUGCAACGCGAAGAACCUUACCAGGGCUUGACAUGUCGCGAAUCUCAGGGAAACUUGGGAGUGCCUUCGGGAGCGCGAACACAGGUGGUGCAUGGCUGUCGUCAGCUCGUGUCGUGAGAUGUUGGGUUAAGUCCCGCAACGAGCGCAACCCUCGUUUUUAGUUGCCAUCAUUAAGUUGGGCACUCUAGAGAGACUGCCGGUGACAAACCGGAGGAAGGUGGGGAUGACGUCAAGUCAGCAUGCCCCUUACGUCCUGGGCUACACACGUACUACAAUGCUCCGGACAGAGGGCAGCGAGCAUGCAAAUGCAAGCAAAUCCCGAAAACCGGAGCUCAGUUCAGAUCGCAGGCUGCAGCUCGCCUGCGUGAAGUUGGAAUCGCUAGUAAUUGCAGGUCAGCAUACUGCGGUGAAUUCGUUCCCGGGCCUUGUACACACCGCCCGUCACACCAUGGAAGCUGGUAGUGCCCGAAGUCAUUACCCCAACCUGAGGGAGGGGGAUGCCUAAGGCAGGA
RNAcentral lists this ribosomal RNA (1074 nucleotides) under Stigonema panniforme CBFS A-026. Its description in RNAcentral is "bacterial SSU rRNA". It matches the Rfam family "Bacterial small subunit ribosomal RNA", at positions 376 to 1467 of the family's 1533-position model. The record is from RNAcentral. Lineage: Bacteria; Bacillati; Cyanobacteriota; Cyanophyceae; Nostocales; Stigonemataceae.